This 305-nucleotide unclassified non-coding RNA is filed under the name plant metagenome. RNAcentral describes it as "partial contains 5.8S ribosomal RNA, internal transcribed spacer 2, and large subunit ribosomal RNA". The stretch from base 1 to 105 matches the Rfam family "5.8S ribosomal RNA", at positions 50 to 154 of the family's 154-position model. The record is from RNAcentral.
GAAAUGCGAUAAGUAGUGUGAAUUGCAGAAUUCAGUGAAUCAUCGAAUCUUUGAACGCACAUUGCGCCCUUUGGUAUUCCUUAGGGCAUGCCUGUUCGAGCGUCAUCUAAACCUUCAAGCCCUGCUUGGUGUUGGGUGCCUGUCCCGCCUCCGCGCGCGGACUCACCUCAAAUCCAUUGGCGGCCCCCGCGUCGGCCACGAGCGCAGCAGAAACGCGAACUCGUGAGCCCGUCCGGGCGGCUCCCAGAAGCUACACCCACACAGUUUGACCUCGGAUCAGGUAGGGAUACCCGCUGAACUUAAGC